Musa acuminata AAA Group (dessert banana) is the source of this 1946-nucleotide long non-coding RNA. RefSeq lists it as uncharacterized. Lineage: Eukaryota; Viridiplantae; Streptophyta; Magnoliopsida; Zingiberales; Musaceae. The record is from RefSeq and is a predicted model, not a curated record. The transcript has 4 exons.
UCGGAAAGCUCGCACCAGCCUGGUGCAUCAGGUUGCUCUUCCUCGCUCGGGGCUGAUUCCCCGUUCCUCUCUCCCGAAAGCACGUGAUUCGAGGUUACAGGGAUUGCGCGUGCCCAAGCCCCCAAGAUCGUGGGUGCUGAGGUGAUCUCCUGUGGAUGGACUGCCUCUGUGGGACAACAUGCGACUCUUCAGCCAUGCGGAUCCUCUGGGCUCGAGCUCGCUCUUGAGCUGUCACCAGAGCCUGGAUGCGGAGAAGGGUAGCAGCAGCCUGCUUCCUUACUAGGUGACCUCUCACCAGAGCUUGCAGCUUUACCAGGCCUCUCAAUGCACAUAGAGCUUUUCUAGCCUGCAAGAAACCCAACAGGAACUUGAAAAGAUUAGAGAAGUACCAAAUAUGCACGGAAAGCAGACUGAAUUUUGACAGCUGCAUCUUCCUCGACAGCGCUGGUUUUUUGUUUGGUGGAAGCAGUUGUUAGCCGAAUUACAGCUGCUGCUGCCUGCGCAGCAGCUACAGCAGCAUCGGCAGCGGCAGCCGUGGCCACUACGACAGCCAUUGCAUGCCUUUUCUGUUCAAUCUCGGCCUCCGAUAGCCCCUGAACCGGCGCGCUUAUGCUCAACUCUGGGGAACCCAAGCUCUUCCCUGGACAUGCUGAUCUCCGAAAACUCCAUCUCUUUUUCUCCUUAGGAGCAGGCACCGAGAUUGGAACUGACCGAGUCUUGGUUGGCAAUGGAGAUGAAGAUUCUGCUUUCUCCUUAUUUGCAUCCUUCUUCCCCGUCAAGAAGUUCCUGAGCCAUCUGCCUGCCUUCCCCAUUUUCUCAUGUACAACCACUAGGAGCAGGGGUCAAGAGUCAUUCGCUUGGGAAAGCUAGAUGAGACAAGGAUUUCCAUUGCAAGCCACUUGCUGCCAGCCUCUACAAGAGUGAUCCCAUGAUUCUCUACAAGAAUAACUAGCACUCCACUUCCAAGAUGCCUUCUCUGCUGGUGAAGUAAUGAUGGGAUUCAGCAAGGUUAUUCUGGUAAGUGUACAGUGUGAGGAUUAAGGAAGGGGCCAGAGAGCCAUGUGAAGGAAAUAGCCAUGAACAUGCUGUGGAUCAGUGUGGACAGCAAGUUCUGGUUGUCAGCAACUUACGUAAAGUUCAUCCCAUCAUUGGCUUACAGUGACCGAGGCCGCCUCAACUUUUUCACCCUGUACCUGCAGUUGGGGCUGAUGAUCCCAAACCAGUGCCGGUACUACUCGAAGGAGAAAGGUCUGGAUCUGUCAUGUUUAUAUCGAUUCUAUGGUUUCAAUCUCUCGAAUUAGAGUUACCUUCUCCGUGACUCAAAUCUUUGUCUCUCAUGUUAUUUAUCGCGAGACUCGAUCUAGCUGCUCACUCCAAAAUCACUUGGACAGUUCAAUCUGGCAUUAUUUGGAGCAGAUCUUCAUAAGAUUGCAUUAUCCGCUAAUGACAGGGGGAGCUCUGCCACAUUAAUCCAAAAGGAAGGAAGAGAAUGUGUGUCAAAAGUAUUCCAUCUCAAUACCUGCGAGGAAAGAUGCAUCGAGCAGCACAAAAAUUAACUAAUGAGCCAUUUAAGUAAGGAAUUAGUUGGCAGUCACAUGCGACUGCAUAUCCUACUACUGCGUUGACUGUUUGUCGGGAAGAGGCUCAGCAUCACUCAGCUUCUGCUCUUGUUUAAUAGUUUCCUCCUUUCUAUUGCCAACAACAUUCAUUUGUCAUAGUACAUUUGAAUGUGAUGUUAACUAUGCAAGCCGAUAGAGUGUAAGAGCCUUUUUCUUCUGCAUCAAUGAGAUGUCACAACUGUUUGAUUCCUGCUAGCAUAUGGCGUGGGUAUGGAAUAGAUUCCUGACUUUAAAAUUUGGAUGUGGCACAGAUGUGGAAUCGAGAAUAAUAGGAAUGUGUUCAUCAAAAAGUAAUAAAAAAAAAGGAAGAGUAGCUUUAGACACUAA